This 153-nucleotide ribosomal RNA is filed under the name Epistemma rupestre. RNAcentral's name for it is "5.8S ribosomal RNA". It matches the Rfam family "5.8S ribosomal RNA". Rfam says of the family: 5.8S ribosomal RNA (5.8S rRNA) is a component of the large subunit of the eukaryotic ribosome. It is transcribed by RNA polymerase I as part of the 45S precursor that also contains 18S and 28S rRNA. Lineage: Eukaryota; Viridiplantae; Streptophyta; Magnoliopsida; Gentianales; Apocynaceae. The record is from RNAcentral.
CUCGGCAACGGAUAUCUAGGCUCUCGCAUCGAUGAAGAACGUAGCAAACUGCGAUACUUGGUGUGAAUUGCAGAAUCCCGUGAACCAUCGAGUCUUUGAACGCAAGUUGCGCCUGAAGCCAUUAGGUUGAGGGCACGUCUGCCUGGGCGUCAA